This 252-nucleotide ribosomal RNA is filed under the name uncultured bacterium. Its description in RNAcentral is "partial 16S ribosomal RNA". It matches the Rfam family "Bacterial small subunit ribosomal RNA", at positions 524 to 776 of the family's 1533-position model. The record is from RNAcentral.
UACGUAGGGGGCUAGCGUUAUCCGGAAUUACUGGGCGUAAAGGGUGCGUAGGUGGUUUCUUAAGUCAGAGGUGAAAGGCUACGGCUCAACCGUAGUAAGCCUUUGAAACUGGGAAACUUGAGUGCAGGAGAGGAGAGUGGAAUUCCUAGUGUAGCGGUGAAAUGCGUAGAUAUUAGGAGGAACACCAGUUGCGAAGGCGGCUCUCUGGACUGUAACUGACACUGAGGCGCGAAAGCGUGGGGAGCAAACAGG